This 356-nucleotide long non-coding RNA is filed under the name Carica papaya (papaya). Its description in RNAcentral is "long non-coding RNA (CPAP_LNC002249)". Lineage: Eukaryota; Viridiplantae; Streptophyta; Magnoliopsida; Brassicales; Caricaceae. The record is from RNAcentral.
UCAAAGACCCUGUCAGGCAUGCCCAUGCACCGAGAGGACCUUGCGACUAGCCUUUGCCUCGCUGGUUCGAUGAAUGCCACGAGGGACUUCCCUCACGAGCUUUUGGACUAAGAUCAAGCCCCAAUUUGGCGAGAUGGUUUAUAAAGGACUUAAUGGGCCUGUAAAUUGGCUGAUGGGCCUCUAUUGGGCCCAAAUAUGAUAUUGGGCCUAACUGCGCCUAGGAAUGUAAAUUGGACCCCUUAGGAUCUUGUAAGGAUUUAUUGGGCCUAAUGGGCCAAGAGAGUGUCGAUGGGUCCAAUAGGCCAGGAACUGGAAAAGUGAGCCUUAUGGGCCAAAAUUCAACUGAAAGAUUUAAC